AAUAAGUUAAUUAAGAGCGUAAGGUGGAUGCCUUGGCUCUCAGAGGCGAUGAAGGACGUGAUAAGCUGCGAUAAGCUACGGGGAUUGGCACACAUAAUUUGAUCCGUAGAUUUCCGAAUGGGGAAACCCACUAUAUUGAAGAUAUAGUAUCCGUUAAGGAAGCAAACCCAGGGAACUGAAACAUCUAAGUACCUGGAGGAAUAGAAAACAAAAGUGAUUCCGCUAGUAGUGGCGAGCGAACGCGGAACAGCCCAAACCAAAAUUGUUUCGGCAAUUUUGGGGUUGUAGGACCACGAUAUUGAAUGUUUAAUGAAUUAGAAUUCUUUGGAAAAAGAAACCAUAGAGGGUGAUAGUCCCGUAUAA
Molecule: ribosomal RNA, 363 nt
Filed under: uncultured Flavobacteriaceae bacterium
Lineage: Bacteria; Pseudomonadati; Bacteroidota; Flavobacteriia; Flavobacteriales; Flavobacteriaceae
Description: bacterial LSU rRNA
Rfam family: Bacterial large subunit ribosomal RNA
Source: RNAcentral